UCAGAGGGAGGUGGAANUCCGCAUGUAGCAGUGAAAUGCGUAGAUAUGCGGAGGAACACCGAUGGCGAAGGCAGCNUCCUGGGAUAACACUGACGCUCAUGCACGAAAGCGUGGGGGGCAAACAGGAUUAGAUACCCUGGUAGUCCACGCCCUAAACGAUGUCUACUAGUUGUCGGGGAUUAAUUUCCUUGGUAACGCAGCUAACGCGUGAAGUAGACCGCCUGGGGAGUACGGUCGCAAGAUUAAAACUCAAAGGAAUUGACGGGGACCCGCACAAGCGGUGGAUGAUGUGGAUUAAUUCGAUGCAACGCGAAAAACCUUACCUACGCUUGACAUGUCCGGAACCCUGAAGAGAUUUGGGGGUGCUCGAAAGAGAGCCGGAACACAGGUGCUGCAUGGCUGUCGUCAGCUCGUGUCGUGAGAUGUUGGGUUAAGUCCCGCAACGAGCGCAACCCUUAUCAUUAGUUGCUACGCAAGGGCACUCUAAUGAGACUGCCGGUGACAAACCGGAGGAAGGUGGGGAUGACGUCAAGUCCUCAUGGCCCUUAUGUGUAGGGCUUCACACGUCAUACAAUGAUCGGUACAGAGGGUUGCGAAGCCGCGAGGUGGAGCCAAUCCCAAAAAACCGAUCGUAGUCCGGAUUGUAGUCUGC
RNAcentral lists this ribosomal RNA (652 nucleotides) under uncultured bacterium. RNAcentral's name for it is "bacterial SSU rRNA". It matches the Rfam family "Bacterial small subunit ribosomal RNA", at positions 651 to 1308 of the family's 1533-position model. The record is from RNAcentral.